RNAcentral lists this long non-coding RNA (1246 nucleotides) under Equus caballus (horse). RNAcentral's name for it is "lncRNA (ENSECAG00000053777.1)". The record is from RNAcentral. Lineage: Eukaryota; Metazoa; Chordata; Mammalia; Perissodactyla; Equidae.
CCAAGCAUCACCAUAGUCCUAUCAUUAUAGACCAAAGAGAAGGACAAAUGAAACAAAAAGGGAGUCACACAUUGGAAGAUGAGGAAAAGAAUAAAAGGAAAGCCAUCAUACCUAUUCUCUGACCCAAGGUGGGGUCCCCGGAUCCAGGACAGUAAGGAAUUGGCUCCCACAAUCAUGGAGGCUGAGAAGUCCCAUGAUCUGCUGUCCACAAGCUGGAGACGCAAGAGAGCUGGUGGCAUGGUGCCUGUCCAAGUCUGAAGGCCUGAGCACCAGGGGAGCCAGUGAUUCAAGCUCCAGUCCAAGGACAGGAGAAGACUGAUGUUCCAGUUCAGUCAGCCAGAGAGUGACUCCUCCCUUCCCCCAUCUUUUUGUUCUAUUCAGGCCCUCAACAGAUUGGAUGGUGCCCACCGACCUUGAGGAGGGCCCUCUGCUUUACUCAUUUCUAAUGCUAAUUUCUUCCAAAACACCAGCAUAGACACACGUAUAAAUAAUGUUUAGCCAAAUAUCAGGGCACCCCAUAGCCCAGUCAAGUUGACACAUAAAAUUAACCAUCAUAGACAACUUUAAUCACUACUGGAAUUAACAGCGAACAAUUCCAGCUCCCAAAUGUACAUCUGGGAUUCAGAUCACAUAUGUCCUCCCAGGAGAGAAAGACUGGUGCCAAGAGGGAGGCAUCUAAGGGAAAAACCCAGAGAUAUUGAGAAUGACAACAAAUACUAAUAAAAACGACAACAAUAAUAGUUAACCCGUAUUAAGGACUUACUAUUGGCCAGAGACUGUGCCCUGAGCUUUAUAUGUCUUCUCAUUUCUGUUCACAUCAGAUUUGGAAGCAGGCUUAUUGUGUAUUUCAUACAGGAGGAUGUUGAGGCUGAGAGUGGGGAACAAGCAGUGGAGGGGGGAUUCAAACUCAUGGCACCCACGUUCUUUCCUUCUGAAGAAAUUGGUCCUCAACUCUUUCAGGUGGAAAGGUAAGAAAGAAAUCUGACACCUCAAAAAAUUCACUAUUUCCUGCAUUUUAACUGAGUUGACUUAAACUAGGGGGAAAAACUAGUGGGAAAUAUCCAGUCUUGAACUGAGAAAAUCUUGUCAAAACUCUAAGCGCACAAAUGCGUAGUCGCUGCCGGAGGGCGGAAGGCUGUCCUCUCCCGACCGUGCUUCCUCCCGCGGGACACGCUGGCAGUGCAUCGUGUUAGCAAAACACUUCCGAACAGUUCAGCGUUUUAAGGCCAGCCAAUUCCAAGCGCUA